CACGUAUGCUCACCCGAGGCAAACGUACGUGUGUACACCGUUGUAUGCUAACCCGAGGCAAACGUACGUGUGGACACUGUUUUACGAAAGAGAAAACGCAAAUAGACCAAUUACUACCUCACGUGACCCUACUACCAACAUAACGGUUUAAAAACUCUUCUGAUAUUUUUUAGGUUAUGUUUAGCGGAAUUGUAAGGAGAUAAGGUAACUGAACAGUCAGGUUAUGAUGUAACAAAGUACAGUAGAUACAAAAUUAGUCAUAACUUGGUAGGUUUAUUCUUAUAAAUAAGUCCGUCUUUAACAGAAGACUAAUCAAACACAAAGACAUAAUAUGGAUGAAUUCGUAACAGAAAGUUGAAACGGUUAAUAGUAUGAUUAGGCUAUUCAUCACUGUACCAGAGAAUAACAGGCUGAUUGAGCUAUGGUUGAAACUUGCUGCUGGAUUUAUCUUGCUAGUUUAUGGCUGAUGAUCAGAGUGUCAAGUAUCAGGCACCAAAAUGUGUCACAAAGGCCGCAAACACAGUUCAUCGUGUGUGUUGUUGCUCAUUCUGCAAAGACAGUGAACAUGCAAUCCCAUAGUUUGACACUGUACACAUCGUUUUACCAUUAUCAUAGUAUAUCCCACUUCCAUUGUAUAACUUUGAACAUUACAAAACAUGUGUUUUGUCAUGAAUAAUAAUGUGAUUAUGUAAAUUACCAAUUUAUUGUUACUUUCGCAAUUCUUCAUAUGUUUUGAAAAAAAUAAAAGGUAUUAUGUA
This is a long non-coding RNA of Nilaparvata lugens (brown planthopper), 758 nucleotides long. RefSeq lists it as uncharacterized. The transcript has 3 exons. Lineage: Eukaryota; Metazoa; Arthropoda; Insecta; Hemiptera; Delphacidae. The record is from RefSeq and is a predicted model, not a curated record.